Molecule: long non-coding RNA, 319 nt
Filed under: Mytilus galloprovincialis (Mediterranean mussel)
Lineage: Eukaryota; Metazoa; Mollusca; Bivalvia; Mytilida; Mytilidae
Source: RNAcentral
UGAAUUGUGACUUUUUUUACCUGUGACCCUCUGUCAUACAUUCAAAAAUAUGUUAUUCAAGAUUUCAGCUUAACAAAACGGGUGUGAAUAUACCUGUGAUUUUAAGUGAUAUACAUGGUGAAACUACGUAGUAACAGCUUGUUAUAUAUCAAAUCACGUUAUCUCACAAGUCAUGGAAUGGUUAAUAUAAUAAACACAAUAAGUAAGCUCAUCAUAAAAUAAGCCAUUGAUCUACAACGCUUUAAGACUUCAUCCCGGCGUCAUAAUUCUAUUACUUCAAGAAAAAAAUAUUUUUGACGUUCUAGUAACUUGAUAAAGG